GGACUAUCAUGUCGGUCGUGCCUCGGUACGUACUGGUAUUGUUGGUUUCUCCCUUCUGACGAAUCAUGAUGUCAUUUAUUUGGUGUUGUGGGGAAUCAGGACUGUUACUUUGAAAAAAUUAGAGUGUUUAAAGCAGGCUCACGCUUGAAUACGUUAGCGUGGAAUAAUGAAAUAGGACGUUCGAUCCUAUUUUGUUGGUUUCUAGGAUUGACGUA
This 215-nucleotide ribosomal RNA is filed under the name Campeiostachys nutans. RNAcentral's name for it is "Elymus nutans partial small subunit ribosomal RNA". The stretch from base 37 to 215 matches the Rfam family "Eukaryotic small subunit ribosomal RNA", at positions 684 to 864 of the family's 1831-position model. The record is from RNAcentral. Lineage: Eukaryota; Viridiplantae; Streptophyta; Magnoliopsida; Poales; Poaceae.